Gaeumannomyces graminis is the source of this 72-nucleotide transfer RNA. It matches the Rfam family "tRNA". Rfam says of the family: Transfer RNA (tRNA) molecules are approximately 80 nucleotides in length. The record is from Rfam. NCBI's taxonomy places the organism in Eukaryota, Fungi, Ascomycota, Sordariomycetes, Magnaporthales, Magnaporthaceae.
GGUUGUAUAGCGCAAUGGUAGCUCGCUUGCUUUUGUAACGGGAAAUUCUGGGUUUAACUUCCGGUGCAACCA